UCGGGAAUUUUGUCCAAUGGGGGAAACCCUGAGACAGCAACGCCGCGUGAGGGAUGAAGGCCUUCGGGUCGUAAACCUCUGUCAGGAGGGAAGAAAGCUCCAUUGCAAAUAGUUUUGGAGUCUGACGGUACCUCCAAAGGAAGCGCCGGCUAACUCCGUGCCAGCAGCCGCGGUAAUACGGAGGGCGCAAGCGUUGUUCGGAAUCAUUGGGCGUAAAGCGGGUGCAGGCGGUGGAGUAAGUCGGAUGUGAAAUCCCAGGGCCCAACCCUGGAACUGCAUUCGAAACUGCUUCACUAGAGUCCCGGAGGGGAAGGCGGAAUUCCCGGUGUAGAGGUGAAAUUCGUAGAUAUCGGGAGGAACACCAGUGGCGAAGGCGGCCUUCUGGACGGUGACUGACGCUCAGACCCGAAAGCGUGGGGAGCAAACAGGAUUAGAUACCCGUGUAGUCC
Molecule: ribosomal RNA, 449 nt
Filed under: uncultured prokaryote
Description: bacterial SSU rRNA
Rfam family: Bacterial small subunit ribosomal RNA
Source: RNAcentral